UCGUGGCUACUAUGCCACCUGGUGGAUAGCUCGGCUCGAGCGCCGAUGAAGGACGUGCCAAGCUGCGAAAAGCUCAGGGGAGCUGCACGGAAGCGAAGAACCUGAGAUCUCCUAAUGGGAAUCCCUCGACAAUUGCCUUGCGCAAUGGGGAACGCUCCGGAUUGAAACAUCUUAGUAGGAGCAGGAAGAGAAAACGAAUGUGAUGUCGUUAGUAACGGCGAGUGAACACGACGUAGUCCAAACCGAAGCCUUCGGGCAAUGUGGUGUAUGGACAGACCGGAAUCGACAGCCAUGACGCGGGAAGUCUUCAUGGAACGGAGCGCGAUACAGGGUGACAGCCCCGUACCGUGUGCUGGCUGUCGUGGGUCUGAUCCAGAGUAGCGGGGGUUGGAAAUCUCUCGUGAACGUGACAGGCAUCGACUGUCAAGACUAAAUACGACUCGAGACCGAUAGUGCACAAGUAGUGUGAACGAACGCUGAAAAGCACCCCGAGAAGGGAGGUGCAAUAGGGCUUGAAAUCAGGUGGUGAUGGAGCGACGGGGCACGAAAGGCUCUGUGGUGAACGAUCGAGGGGCGACCCUCCAGUAGGACCCGCAGAGAGCCGGUGUUCCGUCGUGCGUUUUGAAAAACGAGCCAGGGAGUGUACCUGUUCGGCGAGCCUAACUGGUGCACCCAGGAAGGCGUAGGGAAACCAAUAUGGCCGCAGCAUUGCCAGGGCCACCGUGUUCAAGCGCGGGGAGUCGAACGGGUACGACCCGAAACCGAGUGAUCUACGCGUGGACAGGGCGAAGCGUGGCGAAAGCUACGUGGAGGCCCGUUAGGGGUGGUGUCCUACAAUACCCUCCCGUGAUCUAUGUGUAGGGGUGAAAGGCCCAUCGAACUCGGAAACAGCUGGUUCCAACCGAAAAAUGUCGAAGCAUUACCUCUGCUGAGGUAGUACGUGGGGUAGAGCGACCGAUUGGAGGCCCCGACCCCGAGAGGAGUCGGACCUCCUGUCAAACUCCGAACUCACGUACGCCGUCGAAGCAGGGAGUCCGCUAUGCGGGGUAAGCUUGUGUAGCGUGAGGGAGACAACCCAGAACCGGGUUAAGGUCCCAAAGUGCGGAUUAAGUGCGAUUGAAGGUGGUCUCGAGCCCCAGACAGCCGGGAGGUGAGCUUAGAAGCAGCUACCCUCUAAGAAUAGCGUAACAGCUUACCGGCCGAGGUUCGAGGCGCCGAAAAUGAUCGGGGCUCAAAUCCGCCACCGAGACCCGGUGACACCGGUCAAACGGUGUUUCCGUAGGUUGGCAGUCCGGUCGGGCAGAAGCACGGGCGAGAGGUCGUGUGGACCGACCGGUCACGAAAAUCCUGGCCGCAGUAGCAGCGAUAGUCGGGUUAGAAUCCUGACGACCGAACGAGUAAGGGUUCCUCGGCAAUGUUCGUCAACCGAGGGUUAGUCGAUCCUAAGUCCCACCGUAAUUCGAAUGGGACAAAAUGGGAAGCUGGUUAAUAUUCCAGCACCACUUUACAGUGAACGCUGACGCCUGGGGGUCAACCGGACCACGCUUUCGCGUGGUCGAACUGUCCAACUUCGUGGAAGCCGUAACGGCACGAAGCGAAAGAACGGCAGGAUAGCGCAAGCCGGUUCAACCUCGGGCCCGUGAAAAGGCAAGUAAAGUGAUCGUACCGAGAACCGACACAGGUGCUCGUGGCGGCGAAAGCCAAGGUCUGUCGGGAAUAACCGACGUUAGGGAAUUCGGCAAUUUAGUCCCGUAAGUUCGCGAUAAGGGAUGCCUGCCCAGGAAAUGGGCAGGUCGCAGUGACUCGGGCGCUCCGACUGUCUAGUAACAACACAGGUGACUGCAAAUCCGAAAGGACUCGUACAGUCACUGAAUCCUGCCCAGUGCGGGUAUCUGAACACCUGGUACAACAGGACGAAGGACCCGUCAACGGCGGGGGUAACUAUGACCCUCUUAAGGUAGCGUAGUACCUUGCCGCUUCAGUAGCGGCUUGCAUGAAUGGAUCAACGA
Molecule: ribosomal RNA, 2009 nt
Filed under: saltern metagenome
Description: bacterial LSU rRNA
Rfam family: Archaeal large subunit ribosomal RNA
Source: RNAcentral